AUACGGAGGAUCCGAGCGUUAUCCGGAUUUAUUGGGUUUAAAGGGAGCGUAGGCGGACUAUUAAGUCAGCUGUGAAAGUUUGCGGCUCAACCGUAAAAUUGCAGUUGAUACUGGUCGUCUUGAGUGCAGUAGAGGUAGGCGGAAUUCGUGGUGUAGCGGUGAAAUGCUUAGAUAUCACGAAGAACUCCGAUUGCGAAGGCAGCUUACUGGACUGUAACUGACGCUGAGGCUCGAAAGUGUGGGUAUCAAACAGGAUUAGAUACCCUGGUAGUCCACACAGUAAACGAUGAAUACUCGCUGUUUGCGAUAUACGGCAAGCGGCCAAGCGAAAGCAUUAAGUAUUCCACCUGGGGAGUACGCCGGCAACGGUGAAACUCAAAGGAAUUGACGGGG
This 393-nucleotide ribosomal RNA is filed under the name uncultured bacterium. Its description in RNAcentral is "partial 16S ribosomal RNA". It matches the Rfam family "Bacterial small subunit ribosomal RNA", at positions 523 to 918 of the family's 1533-position model. The record is from RNAcentral.